This 75-nucleotide transfer RNA is filed under the name Camelus bactrianus (Bactrian camel). It matches the Rfam family "tRNA". Rfam says of the family: Transfer RNA (tRNA) molecules are approximately 80 nucleotides in length. RNAcentral also lists the same sequence under 1 other name. Lineage: Eukaryota; Metazoa; Chordata; Mammalia; Artiodactyla; Camelidae. The record is from Rfam by way of RNAcentral.
GAGGGUAUAGCUUAAGUAGUAGAGUACAGGCUUAGCUAAUACACAAGGUCCUGGGUUCAAUUCCCAGUACCUCCU